GACGAACGCUGGCGGCGUGCUUAACACAUGCCAGUCGAACGGAAAGGCCCUGCUUUUGUGGGGUGCUCGCGUGGCGAACGGGUGAGUAACACGUGAGUAACCUGCCCUUUACUUUGUGAUAACUUCAGGAAACUGGGGCUAAUACCGGAUAGGAGCUCCUGCUGCAUGGUGGGGGUUGGAAAGUUUCGGCGGUUGUGGAUGGACUCGCGGCUUAUCAGCUUGUUGGUGGGGUAGUGGCUUACCCAGGCUUUGACGGGUAGCCGGCCUGAGAGGGUGACCAGGCACAUUGGGACUGAGAUACGCCCCAGACUCCUACGGUGGGCAGCGGUGGAGAAUAUUGCACAAUGGGCGGAAGCCUGAUGCGGCAAUGCCCCGUGCGUGAUGCCGGCCUUCGGGUUGUAAACCGCUUUCGCCUGUGACGAAGCGUGAGUGACGGUAAUGGGUAAAGAAGCACCGGCUAACUACGUG
This 468-nucleotide ribosomal RNA is filed under the name uncultured bacterium. RNAcentral describes it as "partial 16S ribosomal RNA". It matches the Rfam family "Bacterial small subunit ribosomal RNA", at positions 28 to 507 of the family's 1533-position model. The record is from RNAcentral.